UGUCUAUGCAUUGGUUGGGAUGUUGGUCUGCAUACUGAGGCCUCCGCCUCUUUUCUCCAGGACUGAAGGCUCGUCACAGCUGGGGAAAUGUCCCGGCUUCCUCUGUCCUUUUCUGGACCCUCUUUCACCCUGCUUUCAACAUGUCACCUCAGGGUGAAGCAGCAAGCUAAAUGUGUGAAGCAAGGAAAGAGCAGAGACCUACAGUGGUGUUUCAGGUUUUUGAGGUCAAGAAACGUACCCGAAGGCUGGAUGAGCUUAAUUCUGUUAACCUCAGUGAUUGUGGGAGGGGCUCCCGGGUCCUGAGCAGACUCUGAGUGUGUUGAUGUAGGUGGAGCUCAGAGAGAGAGAGUGAACCACGGCAAGAGCCCAAAUGGCGGUUUUCUCUGGAUCCAUCUCCCUUUUAUGGAAAGAACAAAGCUUUUCUCAUAUCAUCUCUUUCAGAGCUUUCAAACACAUGAAAUGUCA
Suricata suricatta (meerkat) is the source of this 465-nucleotide long non-coding RNA. RefSeq lists it as uncharacterized. NCBI's taxonomy places the organism in Eukaryota, Metazoa, Chordata, Mammalia, Carnivora, Herpestidae. The record is from RefSeq and is a predicted model, not a curated record. The transcript has 2 exons.